This is a long non-coding RNA of Diorhabda carinulata, 2043 nucleotides long. RefSeq lists it as uncharacterized. The record is from RefSeq and is a predicted model, not a curated record. The transcript is spliced from 3 exons. Lineage: Eukaryota; Metazoa; Arthropoda; Insecta; Coleoptera; Chrysomelidae.
GUUAAGGCACUUCGAUUUCACUGAAUCCACUACACAACAUUUAUUUUUACUUUUAUCUGUAAUGACUAUAAAUACACUAUAUCGGAGAGUGCUUCAUUCUUAUUUACGGGUUUAUAAUGCGAUAAAAACAAUCUCACAUACACGGGAUUCGAUUCGAAACUUGUCGCAUAACUCAAAUAGUUUUUCUUCGAUCUAACCACUUUCACAAACAUCAUUCAAUUAACGUUAACAUAAACACUCUACUUGAAAUUCACCUCGCGUCAAACUACACUAUUGUAUAUCAUAUAAGCGACGUCAUGGGAAGGUUGGAAUUAGAUAAAAUACUAUCAGAUGUUCAUGUUUUAAUUUAUGUUUUUUUUUGAUUUCGGAAAUGUUGAAUAUGAAAAUUGAUAAAAAGCAGUUGGAAUUAUAUCGAUUGUCGUACAUUUAUAGGUUAAUUUCGUCAAAAUUAAAUUUAUUAUGAUCCAAAAUAUUGCUAUUGAAAAACACUAUGAAAACCUCCCAAUAUAAUAAUUAAUUCAAGUGAUAUAUGCAUUUUUUAAAAUAUGUGUAUAUAACCGUAAUAAAUAACAUAUUGUGCAUAAUUCAACGAAUAUUGAGAUAGAACUUCGAAAGGUGACGUAACGCGUUUUUGUAGGUUUGUUUUUGCUGCUUCUUGGAGUGUACAGUACUUCUGUAGUGGAUAUCAUAUAUCGCGAGAAAUUAAAAGCACAUUCAAUUUCUUUUUUUUAAGAAAUGAUUAUACCUGUAAUUAAGUUGUUCGUAGUAACAAAACGCAGAUUCGAAAUUUUACCACCCUGUCCGUGAGUUCAGCACUAGUAGCUAAUUUAUAACCUGUAAUAUCUGUAUUAUGUGUCUGUGGAUAUGCAGUAUCUGUUGCUUCAUUUUAUAACUUUAAUUUAUCUGUGGUUUGUUUGUCGUGAGUGAUUACUUACUCGCUCCGCUCUUAGUACAAAAUUUGAAUGUUUUGUUCAAUACAGUUUACAAAAUGUGUGAAUACAGUUAAAGUGCAUAAAGAUAUUUAAAAACGGUCACUAUUCAGUAAUUCAAAAAAAAACAAGCUGUGACAACUGUAAACUGGUUUGUUUACUACAGUUUAGGAUUCAAAAAAAAUGAUGAGAAGUAUGUGCCCUCUUCACAAAUGGUGGCCAGCUGGUCUAGACUUGAAGGUUCAUAUAGCACUAAUGGUAACAGGCAUUUCGUAUUAAAUUGGUGCGAGUUUUCAAGAAACUUAAUUAUAUUUUAUGGUCGUUAGAGCCACAUCAAUAGAAAAAUAAGGAUAAGCAAUUUGAUAAGUUAAUGGAAGUACAAGUGUCCAAGGGACAUAUGGAAUCGCUUGAGUAAGACGUUGGAGCAUAAAAUAAGAGACAUAUUGUAUAACUUAAUAUAUGGUUAACAGAUCUUAAAUGGUUCCCAAUAGGAGUGGCGAGAUAAUUUGUGGGUAUUCCCAGUCUGUUAUUCAUAAUAAGACCUUCUAGACCGUUAACCUUGAAUUCUGUUGGGCGGUCUGCAGAGGGUGUAGACUAAUUUUUGUCAAGCAACUAGCUUUCGAGUUCUGUUUUUUCUAACAAUUAUCAAUGUCCUUGGCUUAUUACACCUAUUAAUUUUUUUUUACUUGUUCAAAACUAAUUCUUUUUCAGAAAAUUUGUCAGUGUCUAUGGAAGUCAUUAACGGCAUUAAAAUUUUAAUUUUGUUUUUUGGAAGAAUUAUACGAAUAGUUGAAUUUGCUGGUAAAUUUAAGUGAAAGAAUUGAUCUUUAAUGUUCCAUGUUACGUACUCGUCCACUACAUGGACCGUGAAGCCAACUAUAUUCUGAUAUGACAUCGAAGCUAAAGUUUGGCGGGUGUGCUGAUUUUGUUCUUAUUUGGAAGGUCUGUUAACUUACGACAAUCUCGAGAUUUCAAGAAUUCUAAGGUUCCAGAAUGCAGGUUUAAUAUAUAAUGCGAGAGUCUAGUGGCCGUAAGUUAUCGGAAAAGUGACAAUAAAAUAUAAAAAUGAAAAGGUAUGUUUAAAAAAUAAAAAGAACAUUACAAGAUUAUAAAA